This 296-nucleotide ribosomal RNA is filed under the name uncultured bacterium. RNAcentral's name for it is "partial 16S ribosomal RNA". It matches the Rfam family "Bacterial small subunit ribosomal RNA", at positions 1065 to 1359 of the family's 1533-position model. The record is from RNAcentral.
UCGUGAGAUGUUGGGUUAAGUCCCGCAACGAGCGCAACCCUUGUCUUAUGUUGCCAGCGCGUUAUGGCGGGGACUCGUAAGAGACUGCCGGGGUCAACUCGGAGGAAGGUGGGGACGACGUCAAGUCAUCAUGCCCCUUAUGUCCAGGGCUUCACACAUGCUACAAUGGCCAGUACAGAGGGCUGCGAGACCGUGAGGUGGAGCGAAUCCCUUAAAGCUGGUCUCAGUUCGGAUCGGGGUCUGCAACUCGACCCCGUGAAGUCGGAGUCGCUAGUAAUCGCAGAUCAGCAACGCUG